AUUGAACGCUGGCGGCAGGCCUAACACAUGCAAGUCGAGCGGAUGAAGGGAGCUUGCUCCUGGAUUCAGCGGCGGACGGGUGAGUAAUGCCUAGGAAUCUGCCUGGUAGUGGGGGAUAACGUCCAGAAACGGGCGCUAAUACCGCAUACGUCCUGAGGGAGAAAGUGGGGGAUCUUCGGACCUCACGCUAUCAGAUGAGCCUAGGUCGGAUUAGCCAGUUGGUGGGGUAAAGGCCUACCAAGGCGACGAUCCGUAACUGGUCUGAGAGGAUGAUCAGUCACACUGGAACUGAGACACGGUCCAGACUCCUACGGGAGGCAGCAGUGGGGAAUAUUGGACAAUGGGCGAAAGCCUGAUCCAGCCAUGCCGCGUGUGUGAAGAAGGUCUUCGGAUUGUAAAGCACUUUAAGUUGGGAGGAAGGGCAGUAAGUUAAUACCUUGCUGUUUUGACGUUACCAACAGAAUAAGCACCGGCUAACUUCGUG
This 484-nucleotide ribosomal RNA is filed under the name uncultured bacterium. Its description in RNAcentral is "partial 16S ribosomal RNA". It matches the Rfam family "Bacterial small subunit ribosomal RNA", at positions 30 to 507 of the family's 1533-position model. The record is from RNAcentral.